AUUACAGUAUCAAAAGUCUUUCUCCACGUCAUGCUUGCAUGUAAGUGGAGAAAUGUCUUUUUAACACGCCCCUCAAUGAGUAUGAAGUGGGGCGAAUGCCCCAUGAGAAUACGAAUUGUGGGAGGAUUGUGGGAGUGCGAAGCACGUAGCAAUCCGU
RNAcentral lists this small RNA (157 nucleotides) under Extibacter muris. Its description in RNAcentral is "Clostridiales-1 RNA". It matches the Rfam family "Clostridiales-1 RNA". Lineage: Bacteria; Bacillati; Bacillota; Clostridia; Lachnospirales; Lachnospiraceae. The record is from RNAcentral.